AGAGCGAACGCUGGCGGCAGGCCUAAAACAUGCAAGUCGAACGGACCCUUCGGGGUUAGUGGCGGACGGGUGAGUAACACGUGGGAACGUGCCUUUUGGUUCAGAACAACUCAGGGAAACUUGAGCUAAUACUGAAUAAGCCCUACGGGGGAAAGAUUUAUCGCCAUUAGAGCGGCCCGCGUUGGAUUAGCUAGUUGGUGAGGUAAAGGCUCACCAAGGCUACGAUCCAUAGCUGGUCUGAGAGGAUGAUCAGCCACACUGGGACUGAGACACGGCCCAGACUCCUACGGGAGGCAGCAGUUAGGAAUCUUGCGCAAUGGGCGAAAGCCUGACGCAGCCAUGCCGCGUGAAUGAUGAAGGUCUUAGGAUUGUAAAAUUCUUCAGCGGGAAGAUAAUGACUGUACCCGCAGAAGAAGCUCCGGCUAACUUCGCGCUAGCAGCCGC
Molecule: ribosomal RNA, 444 nt
Filed under: uncultured bacterium
Lineage: Bacteria
Description: SSU rRNA
Rfam family: Bacterial small subunit ribosomal RNA
Source: RNAcentral